UUUUUCCUACGGGAGGCAGCAGUGAGGAAUAUUGGUCAAUGGGCGGAAGCCUGAACCAGCCAAGUCGCGUGAGGGAAUAAGGCCCUACGGGUCGUAAACCUCUUUUGUCAGGGAGCAACGCCGGCUACGUGUAGCCGGACUGAGAGUACCUGAAGAAAAAGCAUCGGCUAACUCCGUGCCAGCAGCCGCGGUAAUACGGAGGAUGCGAGCGUUAUCCGGAUUUAUUGGGUUUAAAGGGUGCGUAGGCGGAAUGCCAAGUCAGCGGUAAAAUCGCGGGGCUCAACCUCGCUCCGCCGUUGAAACUG
This 305-nucleotide ribosomal RNA is filed under the name uncultured bacterium. Its description in RNAcentral is "bacterial SSU rRNA". It matches the Rfam family "Bacterial small subunit ribosomal RNA", at positions 333 to 635 of the family's 1533-position model. The record is from RNAcentral.